RNAcentral lists this ribosomal RNA (727 nucleotides) under Listeria monocytogenes. RNAcentral describes it as "bacterial SSU rRNA". It matches the Rfam family "Bacterial small subunit ribosomal RNA", at positions 1 to 709 of the family's 1533-position model. Lineage: Bacteria; Bacillati; Bacillota; Bacilli; Caryophanales; Listeriaceae. The record is from RNAcentral.
UUUAAAGAGAGUUUGAUCCUGGCUCAGGACGAACGCUGGCGGCGUGCCUAAUACAUGCAAGUCGAACGAACGGAGGAAGAGCUUGCUCUUCCAAAGUUAGUGGCGGACGGGUGAGUAACACGUGGGCAACCUGCCUGUAAGUUGGGGAUAACUCCGGGAAACCGGGGCUAAUACCGAAUGAUAAAGUGUGGCGCAUGCCACGCUUUUGAAAGAUGGUUUCGGCUAUCGCUUACAGAUGGGCCCGCGGUGCAUUAGCUAGUUGGUAGGGUAAUGGCCUACCAAGGCAACGAUGCAUAGCCGACCUGAGAGGGUGAUCGGCCACACUGGGACUGAGACACGGCCCAGACUCCUACGGGAGGCAGCAGUAGGGAAUCUUCCGCAAUGGACGAAAGUCUGACGGAGCAACGCCGCGUGUAUGAAGAAGGUUUUCGGAUCGUAAAGUACUGUUGUUAGAGAAGAACAAGGAUAAGAGUAACUGCUUGUCCCUUGACGGUAUCUAACCAGAAAGCCACGGCUAACUACGUGCCAGCAGCCGCGGUAAUACGUAGGUGGCAAGCGUUGUCCGGAUUUAUUGGGCGUAAAGCGCGCGCAGGCGGUCUUUUAAGUCUGAUGUGAAAGCCCCCGGCUUAACCGGGGAGGGUCAUUGGAAACUGGAAGACUGGAGUGCAGAAGAGGAGAGUGGAAUUCCACGUGUAGCGGUGAAAUGCGUAGAUAUGUGGAGGAACAC